GAUGAACGCUGGCGGCGUGCUUAACACAUGCAAGUCGAACGGAAAGGCUCCUGCUUGCAGGGGUACUCGAGUGGCGAACGGGUGAGUAACGCGUGGGUGAUCUGCCCUGCACUUCGGGAUAAGCCUGGGAAACUGGGUCUAAUACCGGAUAGGACCACAUUUUGGAUGGUGUGGUGGAAAGUUUUUCGGUGUGGGAUGAGCUCGCGGCCUAUCAGCUUGUUGGUGGGGUAAUGGCCUACCAAGGCGUCGACGGGUAGCCGGCCUGAGAGGGUGUACGGCCACAUUGGGACUGAGAUACGGCCCAGACUCCUACGGGAGGCAGCAGUGGGGAAUAUUGCACAAUGGGCGCAAGCCUGAUGCAGCGACGCCGCGUGGGGGAUGACGGCCUUCGGGUUGUAAACACCUUUCGCUAGGGACGAAGCGUUUUUGUGACGGUACCUGGAGAAGAAGCACCGGCUAACUACGUG
This 467-nucleotide ribosomal RNA is filed under the name uncultured bacterium. RNAcentral's name for it is "partial 16S ribosomal RNA". It matches the Rfam family "Bacterial small subunit ribosomal RNA", at positions 28 to 507 of the family's 1533-position model. The record is from RNAcentral.